Homo sapiens (human) is the source of this 517-nucleotide long non-coding RNA. Lineage: Eukaryota; Metazoa; Chordata; Mammalia; Primates; Hominidae. The record is from Ensembl.
AUCAGAUGUCAUCACACCUGCCUUUCUCCUGGAUGUCUUUUCUUAUCAUUACAGUUGAAAUGCAAGAGAAACCCUAAAAGAAAUGUGAAGCUGAGAAGGACACAGCUCUCUGACCAUGACCACAGGAAGUGGGCCUGAUGCAGAAGUGCUUCUCCUUCCCCUUGCCCCUGGACCUGAGCCGGAGCUGUCUAUCUACAUGAGGACACCAUCUGGCAACACUGAAAUGUUGCCCUCACUGUAUGCCAUCACCAGGAAGACAAGCAAUAGAUGAUGAGUGAAAAUAAAAUGUUUAGUUGGAAACUAUUUGGGAAUGGCUUUAUGUCCACAUAUGGACACAGCCUGGCUGGAACUGGGGAGAUCUUCCCUUUCUGGUGUCUUUUCAAGGUCUUGAGAUGAGCUCUAACAAAUAUCUCAGGCCAUCUGGCCUAGUUUUUCAUAAUUGUGACUCCUAAAUGUAAACACGGUCCGAGAGAAUAUCGGGAACAAAAAAAAGGCUAAUGAAAUUCUUCUAAUUUAA